Molecule: long non-coding RNA, 305 nt
Filed under: Felis catus (domestic cat)
Lineage: Eukaryota; Metazoa; Chordata; Mammalia; Carnivora; Felidae
Description: lncRNA (ENSFCAG00000047578.1)
Source: RNAcentral
CUUUCUCCACAUGGAAGAACGGGAAAUAUGAAGCUGACAAGAGAAGCAAGGCUGGAGGAUAUGGAAAGAAAGCUUCAUGACUGACUCCUCUCACCAAAUUAAUCUUUACUUUUUUGGCAAGGGGCCUUGUCAGUAACUCAUCAAGCUCAAUGAGCUGAUAUCAGAAAGCCAGACGGGCCUGCGGAAGAAUCCUGCACAACCCAGUCUCUGUGGAGUUUUCCUCACAAUUGUCCACUGAGAAAGGCAGAGGACCCAAUUCUGGAUGUCAGCAGCUGUGACAACAGGAAACAAGGGAAGACUGAAUC